GAUUUGUAGAAUGACCCUCUCGAAAUCCAUAUUGCGAUGAACAUAAUAUGUUGUUUUGGUCAAUAAAUAUUUUUAGUCUAUUAUACAUAAGUUUUUCAAAUAUCCGAUUUAAGUUAGAUAGUAACGAAAUUGGUCUAUAGUUUCCUGGUUCUUCUUUGUCAUCGCUUUUAAAAAUUGGCACGAUUUGUGCAUGUUUUAGUUGAGAGGGAUACAUUCAUAAUAUUUGCUAACGGUUUAGAAAUAAUAGUUCUCGCGCCUUUAAGGAUUGGUGCUGCAAAUGAAUAUAGUCGUGAGCCUUAUUGGCAGGUAGGCUAAUAAUAGUAUUUCCAUUUCUACUUCCAAAGGGGUAACAGCAUCAAAGUAAAAUGAAUUUGUAGGAGAAGGAUAUUUUAGAUAUUCAUGGAAGUCAUGCUUAGAGCUAGGCAAUUGGUUUGGGAGAUUUUGUCCAACUGUUGCAAAGUGCCUGUUAAUUAAAUUUGGAAUUUUGGUGGGAUCGUUUGUGACACUUCCAUCGU
This is a non-coding RNA of Paramuricea clavata, 515 nucleotides long. Lineage: Eukaryota; Metazoa; Cnidaria; Anthozoa; Malacalcyonacea; Plexauridae. The record is from the annotation of a GenBank genome assembly.